This is a regulatory RNA element of Bacillus sp. SJS, 42 nucleotides long. It matches the Rfam family "Ribosomal protein L19 leader". Rfam says of the family: This family is a putative r-protein leader autoregulatory structure found in B. subtilis and other low-GC Gram-positive bacteria. It is located in the 5' untranslated regions of mRNAs encoding ribosomal protein L19 (rplS). The record is from Rfam. Lineage: Bacteria; Bacillati; Bacillota; Bacilli; Caryophanales; Bacillaceae.
AAGAUGUUCCGCUGCAAUGCAUAAGAUUGGAAUGAGCAUCUG